RNAcentral lists this long non-coding RNA (222 nucleotides) under Haliotis rubra (blacklip abalone). RNAcentral's name for it is "uncharacterized LOC124256947". Lineage: Eukaryota; Metazoa; Mollusca; Gastropoda; Lepetellida; Haliotidae. The record is from RNAcentral.
UCUGAAUAUAUAUUGUCACUGACCUGAACAACAUUUCUCCAUGUAGGAGACACAAACGUGAGUUUGGAAGAGUUCGCCAGGACCAUCGAGAACAUUGAGGAAUGAAUUGAGAUAACCCCAUUGUAGAGAGAGUGGCACUACACCAUUGAAGUUGAUCUCGUAAAUGAUUCUGAAUGAUUCCGUUGCAAGUGUAUGAUUUCAAUAAAUCAUCAUAACCAUCAA